This 765-nucleotide small RNA is filed under the name Pongo abelii (Sumatran orangutan). Its description in RNAcentral is "retained intron". The record is from RNAcentral. Lineage: Eukaryota; Metazoa; Chordata; Mammalia; Primates; Hominidae.
AGACUAAUUAAUUCCCUUCAGCUUGAGCUUUCUGGGGCAGAUAAAAAGACUUCCAGAAUUUUACUUUUCUGAAUAGAUCUUAUUUUGGAUUAAAAAUUAUGUUGUGUUUUCAGCUUACUACCUGCCCAAGGAUGAUGAGUAUUACCAGUUCUGCUAUGUGGAUCAGGAUGGUGUGGUCCGGGGAGCAAGUAUUCCUUUCCAAUUCCGUCCAGAAAAUGAGGAAGACAUCCUGGUUGUUACUACUCAGGGAGAGGUGGAAGAGAUUGAGCAGCACAACAAGGAGCUUUGCAAAGAAAACCAGGAGCUGAAGGACAACUGUGUCAGCCUCCAGAAGCAGAACUCAGACAUGCAGGCCGAGCUCCAAAAGAAGCAGGAGGAGCUAGAAACUCUACAGAGCAUCAAUAAGAAGUUGGAACUGAAAGUGAAAGAACAGAAGGACUAUUGGGAGACAGAGCUGCUUCAACUGAAAGAACAAAACCAGAAGAUGUCCUCAGAAAAUGAGAAGAUGGGAAUCAUAGUGGAUCAGCUUCAGGCCCAGCUGUCAACUCAAGAGAAAGAAAUGGAGAAGCUUGUUCAGGGAGAUCAAGAUAAGACAGAGCAGUUAGAGCAACUGAAAAAGGAAAAUGACCACCUCUUUCUCAGUUUAACUGAACAGAGGAAGGACCAGAAGAAGCUCGAGCAGACAGUGGAGCAAAUGAAGCAGAAUGAAACUACUGCAAUGAAGAAACAACAGGAAUUAAUGGCAUGUCUGUCCUUGGAUGGUUA